RNAcentral lists this ribosomal RNA (483 nucleotides) under uncultured bacterium. RNAcentral's name for it is "partial 16S ribosomal RNA". It matches the Rfam family "Bacterial small subunit ribosomal RNA", at positions 30 to 506 of the family's 1533-position model. The record is from RNAcentral.
AUUGAACGCUGGCGGCAGGCCUAACACAUGCAAGUCGAGCGGAUGAAGGGAGCUUGCUCCUGGAUUCAGCGGCGGACGGGUGAGUAAUGCCUAGGAAUCUGCCUGGUAGUGGGGGAUAACGUCCGGAAACGGGCGCUAAUACCGCAUACGUCCUGAGGGAGAAAGUGGGGGAUCUUCGGACCUCACGCUAUCAGAUGAGCCUAGGUCGGAUUAGCUAGUUGGUGGGGUAAAGGCCUACCAAGGCGACGAUCCGUAACUGGUCUGAGAGGAUGAUCAGUCACACUGGAACUGAGACACGGUCCAGCCUCCUACGGGAGGCAGCAGUGGGGAAUAUUGGACAAUGGGCGAAAGCCUGAUCCAGCCAUGCCGCGUGGGUGAAGAAGGUCUUCGGAUUGUAAAGCACUUUAAGUUGGGAGGAAGGGCAGUAAGUUAAUACCUUGCUGUUUUGACGUUACCAACAGAAUAAGCACCGGCUAACUUCGU